This 429-nucleotide ribosomal RNA is filed under the name Gemmatimonadota bacterium. Its description in RNAcentral is "Gemmatimonadetes bacterium partial 16S ribosomal RNA". It matches the Rfam family "Bacterial small subunit ribosomal RNA", at positions 355 to 776 of the family's 1533-position model. The record is from RNAcentral. Lineage: Bacteria; Pseudomonadati; Gemmatimonadota.
UAGGGAAUCUUCGGCAAUGGACGAAAGUCUGACCGAGCAACGCCGCGUGAGUGAUGAAGGUUUUCGGAUCGUAAAACUCUGUUGUUAGAGAAGAACAAGGACGUUAGUAACUGAACGUCCCCUGACGGUAUCUAACCAGAAAGCCACGGCUAACUACGUGCCAGCAGCCGCGUUAAUACGUAGGUGGCAAGCGUUGUCCGGAUUUAUUGGGCGUAAAGCGAGCGCAGGCGGUUUCUUAAGUCUGAUGUGAAAGCCCCCGGCUCAACCGGGGAGGGUCAUUGGAAACUGGGGGACUUGAGUGCAGAAGGGAAGAGUGGAAUUCCAUGUGUGGAGGUGAAAUGCGUAGAUAUAUGGAGGAACACAAGUGGCGAAGGCGGCUCGCUGGUCUGUAACUGACGCUGAGGCUCGAAAGCGUGGGGAGCAAACAGG